ACUAACCCCAUGGAGCCCAGGUGGGGCUGGGAGUCUGCUGUUUGUACAGCCGGUGGGCUCAUGUUGCUUUGGGCAUCCCUGUGCCUGAAUUCCUGCAGUACACUCGGUGCCUAUUUCCUAAUCUGGAAAACUGGAAUGAUGUUAAACAUCCCGCAGUGCAUUCCAUGGUGCAUCCUCGCCUAGAAUUGAGUGGAAGCAAGUCCAUCUCAGAAGGGACAUAACUGAAGAGGAAUGGCUUUCCAGACUCUGAAGUGCAGAGAAAGCACCAGCCUGGGUUAGAGAAAGAGAACAGCAUCUAUGAGCCCGUCCUGGGUGACCUCACAGAGAUCACCCUAGUGGCCCAGGCUAGUGACUGGGAACAUGUACCUUCCUGCAGCCAACCCCAGACGUCCACUGAUGCAUCAUAUACUGGCAAAGAUCCUGGACUGGGGGGGCCUUUGCCGCCAGAGAUUU
Molecule: non-coding RNA, 453 nt
Organism: Vicugna pacos (alpaca)
Lineage: Eukaryota; Metazoa; Chordata; Mammalia; Artiodactyla; Camelidae
Source: RefSeq, a predicted model, not a curated record